GUGCUCUCUCCAGCAGCACAUAUACUAAAAUUGUAACAAUACAGAAAAGAUGAACAUGGCCCCUGUGCAAGGAUGACACGCCAAUUUGUGAAGCAUUUCAUAUUUUU
Molecule: small nuclear RNA, 107 nt
Organism: Cynocephalus volans (Philippine flying lemur)
Lineage: Eukaryota; Metazoa; Chordata; Mammalia; Dermoptera; Cynocephalidae
Source: RefSeq, a predicted model, not a curated record